Molecule: long non-coding RNA, 36056 nt
Filed under: Capsicum annuum
Lineage: Eukaryota; Viridiplantae; Streptophyta; Magnoliopsida; Solanales; Solanaceae
Description: long non-coding RNA (CANN_LNC002939)
Source: RNAcentral
AAGAAGGUCGUCAAGGAGUCUUUGGUUUUGCAUUCCUUGGUUUUACAUUAAUUUCAAGAAGGCAUAAUGGAACAGUAUGCAUUGUAAUCACAUAAACACUAGGAUAACAUCUGUUCAUUCAAACAUUCAACAGGCAGAGAUCGCAAGUUGCUAAACUUCAGAACAUAUUUUUUUAACAGAACAAGCCCCCUAAAGCCUAAAGCUUUCCAACCUCAAACACAUAUAAACACCUUAAUACCUUUACAUCCAACAACAACCAAAAGACAGUAUAAUGGAACAAUGGUCUUAACAAAAAUAGUGUCAAAAAGGCAGAGUUUUCACCUUUUUUAGAGUAGGAACGGGAACUUCGAAACUCGUCCGAACAACUCCCACCAUAAUUUCUAGUUGCUAUUAGGAUUUCAAUGAUUUUUGAUGGGUUUUUUUAUAAUGCUCCGAAGAUGUCUUGGUUACGUAGGGUUAGAGGUGCGCACCUCCAGAACCCUCACUUAUUUUUGACGAAAAAACUCCUCCCACCCUUGUCCCUUGCUAUCUAUUUAUAAGGAAAGUUAGGGUUUUGAAAGAGUAUAAUUCAAACCCAAAAAUUCAAAAUUAUUCCAAAAAAUUUUGAUAUCCAUAGUGAGACAAAGGGCCUUUGUUCUCAAGAAUCAGUAGAGAGGUAGAGAAAAAGAGUUGUUUGGCUUUGAAAAGGGGACGUUGGCUAUGUUGGUCAAAUGGGUGAAUUAACUUUUUCCCAAAAUAGUGAGUCAUGGGCUGAAAAUUGUUAAAGCCUUCUGAAUUUUGGCCAUGAAUGAAUAAACCAUGAGGGCAAAAUGGUAAAUAGGGGCAAUUUUUGGUAUUGUCAUUGGUUGACCGUCGUUGUUGCUGCUUUGUUAUUACAACGUUGAGAUUGUACAUUGUUUUUGUUGCUUUAUGAAAUUGCUGGUGUGGUUGUUGUUGGUUGUAUGUGGUUUUUGGAUUGUUGUUAUUGUCGCUUUUCGUUGUUGAAAUUGAUACGACGUUUGUUGUUGUUAUUUGUGUAUUGUCAUUGUUUUGUAGUUAGGUGGAAAGAAGAAUAGGGGGUGUGGAUCAGGUAUGGAUGUGGUUUUAAUGUUAGGCCGGGUGUUGGCCGGUGAGAGCUAUUGGGCCGCUAGUGUUGUUAAUGGCUGGCCCAAUUUAGGUGAGAAAAAAGGGUUGAUGAUGUUUUUUGAUAGUGUUGUUGGGCCUGUUUUAAAGAAGGUGGACUGGUGUUGGUGUUUUUGUUAUUUAAGGAGGUGUUGGGCUGGUUGGAGUUGAUCGAGUCAGCUGAUGCUGUUGGGCUACACAGUUGGUCCAAUUUGAGUAAGAGAAGAGUUUUAGGCCAUUUAAAAGAUGACCCAAAUUAAAUGAUUAUUUAGUCAAUUUUUAUUUAAAUUCCAGCCAAAUUAAAAAUUAAUCAACCAAUUGCAUUGCAAUUGUGGCCUAACUGAUUUCAAUUAUGUCCAAAUUCAAUGAAUCAACCGAAUAAAAUCAAAAUUUUGAAUGAAUUAUAAACUAAUUUAAUUUUGAGUUUCUCGGCUUAAUAAAAUUGAAUAAAUUUUUUUCAAAUAAAUUAUUUUCAAAUAUAAAAUAUUUUUUAAAUCAAUAUUUUAUAUAUUUGAAUCAAUUUUCAAGAUAACCCUUGAUUUAAAAUUAAAUUUUUCAUAAAAUAAUUAUUUACGUAACAAAAUUAUAUGAUUUCGUAUGUGUGAAUACAAAGAUAUAUAAUCGUUACUUAAAAUGCCCAAAAUUACCUAGACAAAUACUUUAGAAAGUUUUAUUAUUCAGAAAAAUAAAUGUUGUAAUUUUAUAUAAGAUCAAAGAAACUAAGGUCUAAACUUAGUCGUGGAGAGAAAAAAUUAGGUGUUAACAAAUUCCUCCCUUUUGGGUAGGGUGGAUGCAAGUAACCCAUGGCAAGGGGAGUUUGACGUUCCUAAUUUUGUCUGACCACAAAUUCAUUUAUAAAAGAGGUUGGUUUUCGCAUGAGUUUAUAGAGAGUUAUGGUCGAACCUCAGUAUUGGGUUUACUAUAUAUCGCAAGUUACAUAAAAAAUCAGGCCACUUGUAGUUCAUAAAGCUUGAUUUGUAAGCGCGAUUUUUAAAAAAUUCACAAGUUAUUUCAGUUUUUGAGUUUUGAUAAAAACGUAACACUGGAGAAUAAGGAGAUUUGGGGGGUAAAAUGCAGUCGAGUUUUCAAAAAAGAUCCCAGCCUACAUAUCUCUGAGACUCAGGAAAUCACACUGCUUGUAGUUUGACUCGAUUGGUGGAAAAGACAGUCUUUUAUACUAAGAAGGCCUUUGGCUUAAGAUGAGCAACAGACAAUUGAGUUGCGAAAAAAAUGUUUGUAACCUCUUAACCAUUAAUGUAGAUCUCUUUACAUCCAUGGAAAAGAAUUUACCCGAACAUAAUUUUCAAAGCUCUAGGUAUGCUUUCACUCGAAUUUGAAAGAAAGAGAUGGUUACCUCCAAUAUGAGUUUACAAAUAUUUCGGAAAUGAAACUAAAACCAAAACCCAAAAACAUCCACAUGUCUUUUGAUAGGGAUAUUGUUUGAUGGUGAUGGAAGUUGUCUUUUAGUUCGCGUCCAAAGAGUUUGAUAUUCCUCUUCGGACUAUAUCCCAGUUUACUGCUAAGAAAAAGUUCCACAUUGUGAUGCAUUCUUUUUGGAUUCAUCCGUACCUAUAAUUUUGUUUUGAGAUUUUCCUCCUUUUCGGAUGCUCUCAUCAACAUCUCAAACAAAAAUAUUAAUGAUAAACAUUAUUCACUAAGGGAUUUAUAGCAUUUUACCAUAUCUCCGUGUGAGUUGCUACCUUAUGAAGACAACAACCUCUCAUGUACCUGUUUAGAGGGUGAUAAUUCUUGAGAUAAUCGAUACAAAAACCCUUUGUUUUUACAUAAAAUGGUUAUUUUAACGGUUGAAAAUUUUCUUCAAAGUGGGGUGGCCCUCUUGGGCACCGACGACACUUUGUAUAAAGCGGUCUCUGAAACUGAGUAAUUUUAUACUGAUGUGUUAACCUUUUGGUUACCUAUAAUGCUUCUUGUAUUUGACCUCGGGAGUCUUGUGCAUCUAUCAUAUCGAUACAACUUAUAGAUUUUCCUUGAAUAGUCAAUAUUUGGAUAAUAUUACGCAUUAUUUGAUAUUGGAUAUGAGGCAAUUUACAGAUAUCCUUUCAGUUGCUAGGUUUUGAGUAAUCCUGCACAUUAUUCGGCCUUGGAUAAGAGAUGACGUACAGAUAUCCGUCCAAUCACUAGCUCUCAAGUAUUCCUGCACAUUAUCCGACCUUGGAUAUAGUAUGACUUAUAGAUGUCUCUAAAAUUGGUAGUCUUUGGGUAAUCUUGUGCAUAAUCGAUCUUGGAUAUGAUGCGGCUUAUAGAGUGCCCUUAGACCUAUCGAUUUUGAUAAUCUUGCAAAUUUUCCAAUAAGAAUUUAGUUGUGACUUAUGAUAACUUUCAAACUGUCAAUCUUCGGGUAACCUUGCACACUAUCUGGUUAGGAUGACCCAUGGGCUGUCAACUCGUGAAUAAUCUUGCAAACUACCCUAUUUCAAAUAACUUGACUUAUAAAUGACCCUCGGAUUGCCAAUUCUCAAAAAAUCUAGUACGUCGUACAUUUUCGGAUAGCGACUUAUAAACAUCCUUUGGACCAUAUGUUUCGUGAGAUCCAAUAGUGAAUGCUAUAAAAUCCUUGAUGAUUGAUGCACUUGAAUCUGUUGAAUAUCUCUCAACGCCAUAUUGCUUUGCCUUUUCAUGAUUUGAUCAGAUGUGGAUGCUUCAGAAUAUCCUUCAAUGCCAGACUCUUUUGUCUUCGCAUGAUUAUCGGAUAUAUAUGGAAAUACUUCAGAAUAUCCUUCAACAAUAGACUCUUUCGCCUUUGUGUGAUCAAAAGAUAUAGAAGACUUUGAGUCAAUCAUGGGCAUCAAAUUCAAUAUGGAGAUACCCUUGGAUUGUUGCCUCUUUGAAACUGUCAAAGAAGGCAAUAUGGUUUUUAGGAUAUGACCUUUACGGCGUGGUCCUCUUGGCAUAGCCCUUUCGGCAUGGCCCUUAUGGCAUGAACCUCUCGGCAUGGACCUCUUGGCAUGACCCUCUUAGCAUGGCCCUUUUGGCAUGGCCCUCUCAGUAUGGCCCUCUCGGCAUGAUAUGAUGCAGUAGAAAGAUGAUGAUAAAUGCAAAUAACUGUGCAGCGAUUGUAGAAAACCUUACCUUAACCAUUCCACUAGCAUGUUGGACUUUCUGCAUGUACUAUUUCAAACAUCCAUCCUUGAUUUACUAGGGAUGUGAGUAAGUCAUCAUUUUUUUCCACGUCUGAUAAUACCUGUAUCCAUAGAAAACUUCUUAGUUUUGGAAACUCAAUUGUUUUCAGCUUCCAGACACUCCUAGCCAUUUUUAUUAGCCUUGGGAUAUUUGGCUUUCUUGUAUUCCUUUAAACCAAAGGAUUAUGGUGAAUAAUCAGCACUUUUGCUGGUUUUUUUUUGGCUUUAGAAUAACCUGCACCCACAGAAAAAUUAUUUAUCGGUCUUUAGCUACUGUCAUCACCAUCAUUGGGAUCUCAUCUUAUUCAUGUGUUUGUCAUCUUUUAACUCCUGCUUCAACUCGUCGAGUUGGUGGGUGUAAGGUAAAAUUAGAGCAUAAAUUAAUCUAAAUUAAGUAAUUUUACAAAUAUUUAAAUUUUCAAAAAACUUUUUAUAAGAUUGGGAGGAGUCUUUGUCAAAUAAUUCAUGUCAUAUAUGAGCUUUAAUGAACAUUUUUUAGCUCGAGGCGUUAGGUCGUUGUAGCAGAAAGUCCAUGAAGUUGACUCUGCUCUUUCGGCGCCAAAAUCUUUGUUGUCAUCUCUGAACUCUUUGGUAUAAACUGGUGAAAAUUUUAAGGUCCGACUUAAAAUUUCUGCCCUAGUUACUGAUAUCUCUCUCAAAAUUUGAUUUGGCUUGCUAGAGAAUGCUCUUCUUCUGUUGAAUUUUUUGAGAUCCCGUCUCAAAAACUCUUCCCCAGUUUCCAUUUCCUGGGGUGAUACGACUGAUCCAUUGUGGUACCUACGUAUCCCGUUGAAUAGGGAUCAGGUCAAACGUAGCUCCCACAACAUAAAAGGGAAUAAAAUAUAGUCAAAAAGGUGACCAAAGCUUGCAAAAGCCGUCUACGUAUCCCAUCCAUAGGAAUUUCAAUCAUCACAUAGCUCAAGAUAAGAUAAAAAAAUUCCAAGAUAUUGACCGAAGCCGACAUAGGUCGUCUUCGUAUCUCAUUCUUAAGAAUUCAGGUCAAAUGUAGUUCAUACAUAAAAGGAAAAAAGAUUCUAAAGAUACUACAAAGCAUAAGAAUGAUUACAAAUGAGAAAGAAAUUACAAGGAAAUAAGCACAAAGAAACUCCACAUCAGACAUAGUAGCUAUUCACCACAUCAAAAUUAAUUGGCUUGUUCCACCUUUGGCCAUCCAUUUCAGAUAAAAUCAAGGCUCCUCCCGAUAACACUUUGCAGACUACAUACGACCCCUGCCAAUUUAGAGCGAACUUUUCCUUAUACACUUCUUAGUAAGGAAAUAUGCAUUUGAGCACCAAUUUCACAACUUUAAAUCAUCCGCUAUUGAUAUAAUUGUCCAUGACUUACAACGCUCAUCCUCUUUUUAUCAAUCAUCAUAAGUUGUUCAUGGCGGGUGCGGACCCAUUCUUCAUUGCUCAAUCCUACUUCUCGGAUGAUUCUUAAAGAUGGUAUUUCAACUUCAGUGGGUAUUACUGCUUCUGUCUCAUAGACUAACACAUAAGGAGUUACCCAAGUCAAAGUUUUGACUGUCGUGCGAUAUCCCAGCAAGGUAUAAGGAAGCAUGUCGUGCCACGAUCGAUGACUAUCAACCAUUUUUCUUAAGAUCUUCUUGAUAUUCUUGUUGGCAGCUUCUACCUCUCUAUUCAUUUGAGGGCAAUAUGUGUUUGAAUUUGGAUAAGUAAUCUUGAACUGUUCACAUAUCUCUUUCAUCUAAUGACUAUUCAAGUUUGCUCUAUUGUUCGUGAAGAUUGACUCAGGCAUCCCGAAUCAGAAAAUCAAGUUGUUCUUGACAAAAUCUUCUAUCACCCUCUUAGUUACCACAUUGUAUGAUGCAGCUUCUACCCACUUGGUAAAGUAAUUGAUAGUAACUAAAAUAAAUUUGUGUCCAUUAGAAGCUGGUGGCUCAAUCAGGCCGAUGACAUCCAUACCCAAGCUAUAAAUGGCCAAGAAAAGUUCAUAACAUUAAGUUCGUAUGGGAGCACUCAGAUCAGAUCCUCGUGUAUCUGGCACAUAUGGCAUUUUGUCACAAACUUGCUACAGUCAUUUCCAUCGUCAUCCAAAGUUGUUGGCUCUCAGGAUCUUCUAGGCUAGGGUGAACCCGUUCAUAUGAGGUCCACACGUUCCGGUGUGAAUUUCUUCAAGUAAUUUUGUUGUUUUAAUAGAAUCUACACAUCGCAGAAAUCCUAAAACUGGGUCUUCCUGUAAAGGACUUCCCUAUUAAAAAAGAAAUUAUUAGCCAUCCGACGAAUUAUUUUCUUUUAAUUGAAGAUUGCAUCUUCGGGAUACACCCUAGCUUCUAAAUACCUCUAGAUAUCAAAGUACCAUGGCUUUUCGUCUGGUUCUGCCUCAACUUAUGCUCAAUGUGAAGGUUGCUCCUUCACACUUAUUUCCAAUGGAUUGAUGUAACUUUGAUCCAGAUGUUAAAUCAUGGAAGAUAUAGUGGACAAAGCAUCAGCGAACUUAUUAUGUACUCUUGGAACAUGCUUGAAUUCCACUUUCUUGAAUCUUUUGCAUAACUCUUAGACCAAUUCAACGUAUGGCAUGCUUUUAGGGUUCUUUACAACCCAUUCCCCCCUAAGAUGGUGAAAUAAAAGAUCAGAAUCUCUAAUGACUAGUAGCUUCCGAACAUUCAUAUUAAUAGCCAGUCUGAGAUCGAGAAUACAAGCCUCGUAUUCAUCCAUAUUGUUGUUUCAAGAGAAGCACAGUUUGGCGGUAACUGGAUAAUGUUGACCAGUUUCUGAUAUUAAGAUUUCCCCAAUUCUUAAACCCUUGAAGUUAACCGCCCCAUCGAAGAACAAUCUUCUGCCCGAGUAUAUUUCGACAAUGUCUUCCCCUAUGAACAAUACCUCUUCAUCUAUGAAAAUAUGGAUGUUGGGCAAUGGAAAGUUAUCUUUAGGACUGGAUUUGUUCAAAUCCCUAUAAUCGACACAAAUUAUGACCUUCCCAUCCUUCUUCGGUACUGAACAAUAUUUGCUAGCCAUGUUGGAUAUUUUGUGACCUCAAUCACGUUGGCUUGAAUUUUCUUCGUGAUUUCUUUAUUGAUUUUCAGACUCAGAUCUGGCUUGAAUUUUUGCAACUUUUGAUUCACAAGAUUGAACCCCAGAUCAAUUGGAAACUUGUGCAAUACAAUAUCUGUACUUAAUCCUGGCAUGUCAUCAUAGGACCAAGUAAAUAUAUCAAUGUAUUCUUUAAGCAACCCGACGAGUUCUCCUUUCUGUGUUUCUAUUAGGUGAACGUUGAUUCUGGUUUCUUUGACUUCUCCAUCAUUACCUAUAUUAACUAUCUCGGUUUCUUUUAAGUUGGGCUUUUUCUGAUCCUUAAAAUCUUUCAGUUCCUCUGUUAAUUAUUUUGGGGCUUAUAUUUGUUCAUCAUAGUUCUCCCACUCAUCAUCAUUCACUUUGAAUUGUUCAUUUAGCUCAUGACAUAACAUGAUAUUGGUAGGUUUUAAAUUAUUAUUACUGUAGUAAAAAACAAUAUGAGUUACAUUAUAGUGAUCGAAUAAUGCAGUAAAAAUGAGUAAAAACAUCUUUGCAAUAAAAGAGGCUUUCAUUGAAAUUUAAAAUAUUACAGAAACUGCUAUGAUCUGCACUAGUAUGGGUCUGAGCCUUUUGGGAAACAUAAAAAAACAAAAAUGAGGUAAAUAAAACUUAAAGGGACGGUCUCGAGCCUCAUUUGGACUGUCACUAAUUUUGAAAAAAGUUAAAUUUCAUCCUUUCAUCUGCCGCAUCAAUCGGGGAGUCAUGAUAGAAAUAGAAGUCCAGUUCGACGGCUUCUCCCCUGGUUCAUCUUUCUGGAUCUUAGUCUUCUCAGGUAAAUCCUCCAUAAUAGAAUCACACUCUUUAAAUAAGUUACCUAUUCUAUCCUCUAUAUCAUUAUUUGUAGGCUUUACAGAUACAGAAAAUGACUGGUAGAGCGGAGGUAACUUUUUUGCCAAUUCUAGGCCUUCUCUCUGUAUCUGUCUUUCACCUUCUUUAGUUGGAACAUAGCCUAUCCCAUAUUUGAAAAACUUCUUUGGGAUUGCGAUAGGCUCAAUGAUCCCAUCCGAAUUCUUUCCUAAGCCACUCUCGAGCUCAAAACCGCUUCUCAGCAUAACAGUGGCCAAUAUCUUGUAAAUCGAAGGCAUUAGCUCGUAAGGAGUUAAGUCUUUCUCAGCUGCAUUCAUGAUCUCAACUAUAUAAAAGUAUCUUCCUUUCAGUACUUCUUCAACAUAGGAAUAUAAACAUUAGGGUGACUCAGGCGGCAUAUUUCCCCAUGGAUGACCACUUUAUUAUUUUCCCAUACGAAUUUCACCGAUUUAUGCUAUAUUAAAGAAACGACCCCCACUGCAUGAAUCCAAAGGAUUCUUAAGAUAAGAUUAUAACUUGUUGAAAUGUCCAUCACCUGAAACUCAACUAAUAACUCUGUCAGCUCCAUUUGAAGAUGCAACUUGACUUCCCUAGUGGUGUUUCUCUGACCUCCGUCAAAAGCUUAUAUUUACCAUGUUCUGAUGAAGUUUCCUUAUAUCAUAGUUCAGCUGAGUCAGAACAAAUAGUGGACAAAUAUUCAGAGUCCAUCGUCAAUUAACACCCUGUUUACAACCUUAUCUUGGUAUUUGGCAGUGAUAUGCAAUGCCUUGUUAUGCAUUACUCUUUCGAAGGGUAACUCAUCUCCUCCAAAGCUAAUAUAAUGAGAUCCUACCACUUUACUGAUCAUGGCCACCAAGUUUUCAAUAUUGGUGCCUAUGGGCAUAUAGGCUUCUUCAAGGACUUUCAUCACAACUUGUCUAUGAUAUUGAGAACUCAUGAUCAAUGCCCAAAUAGAAAUCUGAGCGGGGGACUUCUCUAAAUGUUUUACAAUAGGGUACUCCUUCAGCUACAUUCUUCUCCCAAAUUCUUUGGCUUCCCCUUAAAUGAUUGGAAUUUUUUAGCACUCUUUUUGUAUGCAUCAUUGGCAAGAUCCUGUGGAGUGUAGCAUCUCCAUAAUCUAGUCAUUCCUUACGCAGUGGUGGCUUCUACCAUAAAUUUUUCUCUAGCGGGAACUAAGGCAAAAGCUGGAUGAGGUGCGAUGAAUGCAACAAACUUGGGCUUCUCAAUAACACUUUAAGUAGCCACUAUAAUUGGGCUCGAAAGAUGUCUUUGACUUCAGGUUUGGACUAAAUGAUACGAAAGACACAUCUUCUCUCUUUUUCUUUGGGAAUCCUGAAGAUCCAGGUUGUACAGAGGUCUUGCUGAUUUUUUUUAUCCUGAGUCCUUCUUCAACUAUUUCACCAAUCUUAACCAAGUCAGCAAAGGUAGCAGGAACUGUUGAUAUCAUUUUGUCAUAAAACUCUCCCUCCUAAGCUUGGGUAAACAUAACAACUAUUUAUUCUUUUGUCAAAGGAGGUCGUACCUUUGCUGCCUCUUUCCACUAAUGAUAGGUAUAUUCAUGAAAGAAUUCAUUAGACUUUUGCUGGAUGCGAUUCACAUAAUAUAGAUCAGGAAUCAUAUCUACAUUAUAGGUAAAUUUUUCAACAAAAUCCUUGGUUAAAACACUCUAUUCAGGCCACUUCUUUAGUUCCUAUGAAGCAAAUCAUUCUAAUGUUUCUCCACUCAGGCUUCGACUGAAAAGCCUCAUCACCAAUGCCUCAUUUCUACCAGCACCUACAAUUUGGUCAUAAUAUCCUCUCAAGUGGGUCGUAGGGUUCCCAGUACCAUUGAAUAUCUCAACUUAAGGACAUUAAAUACUGUAGAAAGGUUCAAGUCAGGGCGAAUACAAAGGUCAUCAUAACUGAACCCUACAGUAUUGGGCGAACCAUGUGUUUUCUUUAUCCUGGCCAUCUCUUCCUUUCUCAAUAGUAUCUCCCUAGCAUAUUUGUCUUCAGGCCCCUUACUCUUCUUGCCCAUCUCCUCAUACUGGUAAAUUUCUAGAUUUUGUGGGGAAGUAUGGUAAGAGGCAGGCACUACAAUAGCGUGGAUGGUGGAGAGAGACAUAUUUUGGGUCAUCAAAGGAUUUUGAGAGGUGUGACCAAAGUUUUGGUAUGUAGGAACUGGAUUUUGGGGACCGUUGAUAUUGGGACUGAAAGUGGGGUGGGUAUUUUGGGAAGUGAAGGUAUUUGUGAAUGUGUUUUUGUAAUUUAGAGUGAAGCUUUGAGAGUGGUAAGUAUUUGGAUGAUUUUCUUAGUUGGUAUUAUAAGAAAGAGAGAUAUGGGUUUGGCACAACAGAUUGAUGAGAUUAGUGAGAGGCCUGGGCAUAGAAUGGAGGGUAUGUCAUUUGGUUGGCUUCCACUGUUAUGAGAGUUAAGAGAAGGGAAUCAAAGUGGAAGCACAUGGGUAUCCAAGACUGGCGUAUUAGCUGCAAUGGCCAAAUUAGCCAUAUCUUUUGCGUGUUGUACUUCUUCUUGAAGCUCCUCCAUUCUUCUAGUUAGUUCAGUGAUCAUCUCACCUUGUGUCAUUAUCACACCAUCUCUAAUAGUAAUUUCGGUGAGAGCAUUAUCAUCGCUACUAUCGGUCAUUCUUUAUUCUUCAGUUAAGCAAUGGUCAAGGGAUGAAUUUUUAUUUGACUUAGAUCUAGUGAAAUAUUGAUGUCCAGCUAGUUUUAUCAACAUAGGUUAACUUCUACUUACUUGAUACCUGAUAAAACAACUCCAAAGAAAAAUAUGUUAGAUUCGCUUAGUGAUAAAUAAUGCAAGAUAUCCGACAUAAACUAAACACAUAAAGUUGCUUUUAUUUUAGGUAAAUUGAUCCACGGGGGGGUAUUAACUCGAAAGGAAUUAACGGGCGGGACUUUGUCUGUUGAUUGUUGGAUAAAUGGGUUUUGACAAGAUUUUUACCAAGGCUUCUAAUUUUGUACUCAUAUGACUUUCUUUGACAAAACGAGACAUAAUGAUUUUAAAUGAUAGAGGCCAGGACGAAAGAAUGUCUAAGUAUCUCACAAAGGAGAAAUCAGGCCAUACGUAGUUCAAAUAGGUAAGGAUAAAACUUCAUUUCAUUGAAAUCUCAUUAGAGUUCGUUACAUUAGCGGAACAUGAAAAGAAAAAUGACAACAAAAAAAGGAAAUAAAUGACUAAGUCUUAGAUAGAUGCGGGCAUUCCCACUUCAUUCUGCCUUUUCCAUAUCUUGAUCUUCGAUGGGUGGUAUAGCAAAAAUUCUAACUCAACCCUUCCUGUAUCCACCAGGCUCUCUAAAUAUAUCUUAAAAGCAUUGCAAGUCUCCAAGUUGUGCCCUUCGAUGCCUCCAUUAUAAUGACAAACCUCUCUAAAUUUCUUCCAAGCUUUAAAUAUCGUAUUAUGCUUCUUUUUCAUUAGUUCCAGAAUUUUGGCAUUGAUGAUCUUUGAGUAGAUUUUAUGGUAGGUAUCUUCAAAUCUUGCGAUGUCAUAUUUGUGAAUCAACAGGUCAUUGGUGAUGGUCAUGCCUAGAUUAACCCGAUCGCAACAGAGAAUGGUUUAUGGUCCCCAUAAAUUAUUUAUUUGACCAUCGCGAAUCGUGUUGCAAAUCCUGGCCUUCAGAGCAAGACACUCGUCAGUGGUAUGACAAGUUUAUUGGGAUCAUCCUUGGGAAAAUAACAAAAUCCUUCUAUUUGAUCAUGGUGGAGGACCCCCACAUUUCUUAGGAUUUGAUAAACUAUCGAGCAUGUCAUGAUCUAAGGAUACCGAGAGCACGCUCUGAAGUGAGCUUUGCAGGUGAUCUUUUCACUUCCCUACCUAAUCCUAGUAGGCUAGAUGGCAUACCCUUUAAUCUUGGACCAGCUUUCAUCUCUUAGGUUUGCAGGUGAAACUUGCUCAAACUUAUUCUUUUCCUGCUCGAUCAACUGGUUGACUUCGAUAAUUUCCUUGUCGGCCUGAUCAACCUUCCUAAUCAUUUUGAUUUCUUCUUUUUGCAUUUCCUCCACUUGGGCUAACUCUACUAUCCGUCUUUUCAUUUGUGUGGUCCAUGAAUCCAUGACAAAUUUUCUUGAAAGAAUAGGAAUAUGUUUAUCAAGAAAGCUAACGAAAAUAGUUGACGACUUUUUGAGAAACUUGGGGACCUGGAAUAUCUUGUGCAGACUUUCGAUAGUAAGAAUAUAUUUUGCCUAAAGGGUUUUCAAGGAUUUAUUGAGUUGUGGAUCAAUUUACCUUUGAUUAACAAUACACAUAGCACUUAAACAGUUAUAUCACAUACGAUAGUUAUAUUUCACAACAAUAGAAUAAUAAAUAACGAGCCCUAAUUGGGUGACCCUUUUGAGCCAAAGGUUGGCCUAGAGAAUACCCUUUUGAGCCAAAGGUUGGCCUAGAGAAUUUGAAGGAAAUAUAUGUCUUUUAAACCAAUAAAUUAUCCCUCAAAAUCUCCAUAGAUAUAUAUAAAUCCAUAAGCGUUGACAAAAGUUUCACAAGGGGAUACAAUUUUUAGGGAAAGGGGAAAUGAUAUGAAAAGAACAAAGUCCCACACAGGUGAUAAAGACUAACUCCUAGAUGCUCCUCCAUUGGCGUUCGUUCUCUUAGAAUUAUCCACCUCUUGACAUAUAUGAUAUAUGUUGAUGACCAGAUGACUCCCGCAUAAUUAUACUUUAUUCUUGUAGGUUAUCUCCCCUAUUCUAUCAAUUGUUAAGCCAUGUGAUCAUCCAAAUUAAGCAAGAAUUGUCUUGCAUCAUCAACCUCUUGCCUAGAUCUAUUUAAAUCUUCCCUCAACAGAUGUAUAGUUGAGGCAUCCUUCAUAUGCAUAUGCUGGUACGCCAUUUCACUUAUUCAAAAUUCGUGCUGAGGCCUAUCGAGCCAGAUCUGGUGUUCUUAUUCUACAUCAAUUAUUUGUAUGGGUACAUUCGCACCCGGUACCAAUGUUACGGCAAGAUUCUCCUUCAACCACUCUUUGUAGGUAUCACUAACCUCAGGUUCAUACCCAAUACAAAAGGAAACUUCUUUGGUAUUUCUUCUUCUCCACCGAUCUACCAUGUGCUAUUUGAGUGGAUUUUCACCUUCAUCAUACUUGGUGAUGAAUCUAACCAUAGGCGUUGUUUACGAUAUUUCCUGCUUGAUUUUAAACUGCCUAAGAACCCUGUCAGGGUUGUAAGGACGAGUUCCCCUAAGACCUGGAAGUAUUAAAAAAGGUCAUUCUUUUUCUCGAUGUACUUCCCUGGAUGAAGAUAUUUGAUAGACCACUGAACGUUGUCCUCUCUUAAUUUCCCGAAAACCUUGAACCAAAAUCCCAGAAAGUCUAUCAUCUUAAACCUGUGCAAGGAUAGCCAAAUGUCAUGUGAUGAUAUAAGAUCUACCCUUUUCUGAGGGUCUGGCUUCUUUACUUUGGUAUUUUUCAAUAAAUGUUUCAUCAGCCACCAUUGAAAGAUAAGGUUGCACCCUUGGAAGAAACGAUUCCUACCUUGACACAUUCCUAAAGCCCUAUAUAUUUCAGCGAUAAUCAUGGGAGCUAGAGUAUGGAAUACUUUAGUGGUUUUGUGAUCUACUUCUUAUAGGAAGGCGUGCGUCACUAUAAAAACUCUUGGAUUAAUGGUGUCAUUCUCUCCUUGCAGGAACACCAUAGUUCCAAGCAAACCUACAGCGAAAACAAAUGCUCUUUUCUCCCUCCAUUUUAACUCUGAUUCGAAUUUAUGCCCAAACUUCUAAAAGCGUUAUACUUUUUGAACCGGCUAUACAUAUCACAAAAAAGGUAUGUUAUCUCUAUCAUGUUCCCCCAACCAGGUAUCAUCGUUGAUCAAAAAGGCAUCUUUGAUCUCCUGACGGUUUCAUACAGUAAGGACUAUAACACUUUUUUCGGGUGCACUCCUUCUUUUUUUCCUAUACAUAUGAAGUCUCUCAUUACCGGCCACUACUUCUUUAAUAUUGGGGUUCAAUUCGACUUCCUCAUAGUGAAAUACCGUGUUGUCAUCAUCUGAGAAUAUUGUUAGCAGAUGGAUCAUUUCAGGAAAAACGUUCAUAUCUUGAAGCUCAGGUAGAUGCCCGAUAUGUGUACUAACAAUCUCUUUGUCCUUUUCACCCAUAUGAGUCCACCAUACCUUCAGGAAGUUAUCAGGUCUGGUAACCAUCUUUAACUUUCUACAAGGGUAAGCUUGAGCCAUUCCUACAUGAAAGAAAUAAAAGUAAGUCUUCUCCCUACCCCAAAGGAUAAUUGAUUGGAUUAAGCAAACAUAUAUUUUUUCAACACAUAAGCAUGAUUCGUUUGUAAUUGGCUCGCGGCUAAUAGAAGCAGAACAAUUUUUCUAAUAGGCCUAAUAUCCCCGCGAGUAUUGGGUCGCCCUAGGCUCAUGCCUAAAAGAGGAUUUUGGUUUCGCUCUAUCCUAGGUGUCUAGAGAGGGGCUUUGGAACAGGUUCCCAAGCGGAAGACUUGGGUUUAGAAAUACGAACAGCCAUCGGACGCCUAACGUGACAAUAAACUGACGUAUUUCCAGUAUUUGAUUUGGAGUUGAACAAUAGGGGUUGGGACAUCCACGAAAUCCCAAUAAUUUAUAUAUUUUGCAUGCAGAAAUAUGUCAUGAAAUGCAACAAUUUAAAAUUUGCGAAAAUUUAAACACAUAAGAAGACAAACAGUAUAAAUAUUACAACCCAAAUAGUUAGACAAAGAAGCUAGCACACAUUUGGUUAGAAUCUAGUGAAGUCCCCAGCAGAGUCACCAUUUCUGUUUUAUCCUUUUUCGGAUUUUACUUAAAAGAAAAUGGUUUCGACCUUUUUAAACUAUUUCCAAAGAUUUAAGAGAGUUUUAAAAUUAUUUUUGACAAAUUUAUAGAGUCGCCACUUGAUUUUUUUUAUCAAAAAUAUCAAGAAAACUUAAAGAGAUUUCAAAGAUUCAAAAACAGAAAUAAAUUUUUGAAAAAUAGAAAAAUUGAGUAAUUGAGUAAGGGUUUAAUUAACGCCCUUAGAAGAUUUUUACGCCACUUAGGAGCGUCUGUUUUAAAACGGUUCAUCAAAAGAUUAUAUUUUGACUAAAAAAGAGUGACUAACUUUGCAAAGGUUGAUUUUUUAAUAUUUAUAUUAUUUAUCCAUACAUCUAAAAAAUCGUGUUUGUUUGUUCAAACAAGGAAUAGCCUACUUGAAUUAGGAAAAAAUCUACAUUAUAUUCUACUUAAUUCAAUAUUAAUUUUGAGAAAAAUUACGAAAUAUUUCAUUUAGAUUGAGAAACGUUACGGAAUAUCUUGCUUGAGAAAAUAUUCUACUUAAUCACGAGGAAGCUAGAAUUUGAGAAAAACAAUCAAGGAAUAUGCUAGUUGGAAAACUUCAACUUAAUUCGUAAUUACUUCAAGAGAAAUUAUGGAAUAUUUACUUCAAUUAAAAAUAAACCUAUCUAAACUAGAUUACGCUUUUGAGUUUAUAGAGGAAAUAAGUUAAUUUUUUAUGGAAAUUGAGAAUUAUAUGAUUACUUAUUAUUAUUGUCAUAAAUAUAGCCAUUUUGUUAUAAAUAACACCUUUGAAAUAUUUUAAGAAAGUAUCAUUUUAUCAAUUAUGAAAAAUUUGGAACUUGCGAGAAAAUUAGUUUCUUGAAUUUGAAGAUAAUUACCUUUUAACCCAAGUAGUCUAUCAGUCAAGUGAACAAGACAAGUGUCAUUUUCAAGUAGAGGACUUAAUGAUUUUUAGUCUUUUAAAAAAAAAAAAACUAAUUUAGGAAGAGCAAUCGAAAGAACCACUUUAAUCCAUUUUAGAAAAAAUAAAUUAGGUGAGAAAAUUUGUGAAUCAAAUAUGGAAAUCGAGGUAAAACAAAUAGCAACAACAUGGGGAAACACCAGAUUAAUUAAUUAAGGUUAGUUCAAAUACAAAAUAAACAAGUAUAGCAGUUGCAAUUUAAGAGAAUAAAAGGUUAAAGUUGGAGUUGGGCCUUUUUGGCCCAUCAGUGAGUUGCCCAGCCUUUGGGCUUCCCAUUUGAUGGACUUUAGGUCCAUUUUCCUGUAGUGUAUACCACAUGUAUACCAGCUAUAUUCUUCUGCAUUUUUGUGUAUAUAUGGUGUAUAUAUGACUGUAUUUCAGUCACAUACACACAACUUUAGUCCUCCCCUAUAUAAUCAACUUCCCUUUCACAUUUUCAGCCGCAGAUCCUCAGUACUGGCAUAUAUCUGUGUAUACAACUUUGAAUCAUCCCAUUUUUCUUCUUGCAUUAGUCCAUUUUGGACUUGAUGCAGGUCUUGACUCGAUAUUUCAGCAACUUAGUCUCAAGGAAACGCAAGAUAUUGAGUCCAAUUGAACUCCAUUGGAAUUCAUGGAAAAAGCAAAGAAACAAAGGAUUAAUGAAAUGAAGAAAAAAGAAUAAAUAACUUUGUAUACUAGUUUGCUUAAUUAUAACAUAGAAGAGCAUCCAAUAAUAUUAGACAAAUCCCCUACUCCUAACUAUGUUAAAACAAUACAGAUUUCAAAAUAUUUAGACUUCAUCCAACAUUAAUCACCCCAGCAAAUUUCUUUAAGUUCUAUUACAUGCUUUGGCAUAUUACAAAACAUAAAUUAGGCCAGUCGAGUAGGUUAAACUAAAAUCUCUUCAAAACUAUUCCAUGCAUUAGAUUUCUAUGUUAUCUGUGUUUCAGAUCUCCUACGAAAACAUGCCUUUAAACCUAUAUCGACCCAAAUCAGGAUCUGUGAAAAAGGAUUUUAUAAGAGGGAAGUUGCUAAACUAACCAUAAUGAUAGGCAGGAACAAAGAAGACGAAAAGAAAAUCUCCUAGCACGAGACAACACAAGUUACUAAUACUGGAUCAAGAUUCGAUCUUUAUUUAAUACUUAGACAAAACAAGCUAUCAUCCUGCGACUCGCUCCUAUCGAAUAAACAAUAAGAGAGAACAUGUCAGUCGAGUCCAAACACAUAGAUUAAUGUACUAAGUCAACGCAAAGAAGGAGCAAGAAGGUCGUCGAGGAGUUUUUGGUUUUGCAGUCCUUGGUUUUACAUUAAUUCCAAUAAGGCAUAAUGGAACAGUAUGCAUUGUAAUCACAUAAACACUAGGAUAACAUCUGUUCAUUCAAACGUUCAACAGGCAGAGAUCUCAAGUUGCUAAACUUCAGAACAUAUUUUUUUAACAGAACAAGCCCCCUAAAGCCUAAAGCUUUCCAACCUCAAACACAUAUAAACACCUUAAUACCUUUACAUCCAACAACAACCAAAAGAAAGUAUAAUGGAACAAUGGUCUUAACAAAAAUAGUGUCGAAAAGGCGGAGUUUGCACCUUUUUUGGAGCAAGAACGGGAACUUCAAAACUCGUCCGAACAACUCCCACCAUAAUUUCUAGUUGCUAUUAGGAUUCCAGUGAUUUUUGAUGGGUUUUUUAUAAUGCUCCGAAGAUGUCUUGGUUACGUAGGGUUAGAGGUGCGCACCUCCAGAACCCUCACAUUUUUUUGAUGAAAAAACUCCUCUCACCCUUGUUCCUUGCUAUCUAUUUAUAAGGGAAGUUAGGGUUUUGAAAGAGUAUAAUUCAAACCCAAAAAUUCAAAAUUAUUCCAAAAAAUUUUGAUAUCCAUAGUGAGACAAAGGGCCUUUGUACUCAAGAAUCAAUAGAGAGGUAGAGAAAAAGAGUUGUUUGGCUUUGAAAAAGGGACGUUGGCUGUGUUAGUCAAAUGGGUGAAUUAACUUUUUACCAAAAUAGUGAGUCAUGGGCUGAAAAUUGUUAAAGCCUUCUGAAUUUUGGCCAUGAAUGAAUAAACCAUGAGGGCAAAAUAGUAAAUAGGGGAAAUUUUAGGUAUUGCCAUUGGUUGACCGUCGUUGUUGCUGCAUUGCUAUUACAACGUUGAGGUUGUACAUUGUUUUUGUUACUCUAUGAAAUCGCUGGAUUAUUGUUAUCGUCGUUUGCCGUUGUUGAAAUUGAUACGGCAUUUGCUGUUGUUGUUUGUGUAUUGUCAUUUUUUUGCUGUUAGGUGGAAAGAAGAAUAGGGGGUGGGGGUCAGGUAUGGAUGUGGUUUUAAUGUUAGGCCGGGUGUUGGCUGGUGAGAGCUAUUGGGACGCUAGUGUUGUUAACGGCUGGCCCAAUUUUAGGUGAGAAAAAAGGGUCGAUGAUGUUGUUUGAUAUUGAUGUUGGGCCUGUUUUAAAGGUGGUGGGCUGGUGUUGGUGUUAUUGUUAUUUGAGGGGGUGUUGGGACGGUUGGAGUUGAUCGGGUCAGCUGAUGCUGUUGGGCUGCACAGCUGGUCCAAUUUGAGUGAGAGAAGGGUUUUAGGCCAUUUAAAAGAUGACCCAAAUUAAAUGAUUAUUUAGUCAAUUUUUAUUUAAAUUCCAGCCAAAUUAAAAAUUAAUCAACCAAUUGCAUUGCAAUGUGGCCUAACUGAUUUCAAUUAUGUCCAAAUUCAAUGAAUCGACCGAAUUAAAUCAAAAUUUUGAAUGAAUUAUAAACCAAUUUAAUUUCGAGUUUCUCGGCUUAAUAAAAUCGAACAAAUAUUUUUCAAAUAAAGUAUUAUCAAAUAUAAAAUAUUUUUUAAAUCAAUAUUUUACACAUUUGAAUCAAUUUUCAAGAUAACCCUUGAUUUAAAAUUAAAUUUUCCAUAAAACAAUUAUUUAAGUAACAAAAUUACAUGAUUUCGUAUGUGUGAAUACAAAGAUAUAUAAUUGUUACUUAAAAUGCCCGAAAUUACCUAGACAUAUACUUUAGAAAGUUUUGUUUUUCAAAAAAAUAAAUGUUGUAAUUUUAUAUAAGAUCAAAGAAACUAAGGUCUAAACUUAGUCGUGGAGAGAAAAAAUUAGGUGUCAACAAAUUCCUCCCUUUUGGGUAGGGUGGAUGCAAGUAACCCAUGGCAAGGGGAGUUUGAAGUUCCUAAUUUUUUCCGACCACAAAUUCAUUUACAAAAGAGGUUGGUUUUUGCAUGAGUUUAUAGAGAGUUAUGGUCGGACCUCGGUAUUGGGUUUACUAUAUAUCGCAAGUUACAUCAGAAAUCAGGCUACUUGUAGUUCAUAAAGCUUGAUUUGUAAGCGCAAUUUUUAAAAAAUUCACAAGUUAUUUCAGUUUUUGAGUUUUGAUAAAAACGUAACGCUGGAGAAUAAGGAGAUUUGGGGGGGGGGGGAAUGCAGUCGAGUUUUCAACAAAGAUCCCAGCCUACAUAUCUCUGAGACUCAGGAAAUCAGACUGCCUGUAGUUUGACUCGAUUGGUGGAAAAGACAGUCUUUUAUACUAAGAUAGCCUUUGGCUUAAGAUGAGCAACAGACAAUUGAGUUGCGAAAAAAAUGUUUGUAACCUCUUAACCAUUAAUGUAGAGCUCUUUACAUCCAUGGAAAAGAAUUUACCCGAACAUAAUUUUCAAAGCUCUAGGUAUGCUGUCACUCGAAUUUGAAAGAAAGAGAUGGUUACCUCCAAUAUGAGUUUACAAAUAUUUCGGAAGUGAAACUAAAACCAAAACCCAAAAACACCCACAUGACUUCUGAUAGGGAUGUUGUUUGAUGGUGAUGGAAGUCGUCUUUUAGCUCGCGUCCAAAGAUUUUGUUAUUCCUCUUCGGACUAUAUCCCAGUUUGCUGCUAAGAAAAAGUUCCACAUUGUGAUGCAUUCUUUUUGGAGUCGUCCGCACUUAUAAUUUUGGUUUGAGAUUUUCCUCCUUUUUGGAUGCUCUCAUCAACAUCUCAAACAAAAAUGUUAAUGAUAAACAUUAUUCACUAAGGGAUUUAUAGCAUUUUACCAUAUUUCCGUGUGAGUUGCUACCUGAUGAAGACAGCAUCCUCUCAUGUACCUGUUUAGAGGGUGAUAAUUCUUGCGAUAAUCGAUACAAAAACCCUUUUCUUUUUACAUAAAAUGGUUAUUUUGACGGUUGAAAAUUUUCUUCAAAGUAGGGUGGCCCUCUUGGGCACCGACGACACUUUGUAUAAAGCGGUCUCUGAAACGGAGUAAUUUUAUGCUGAUGUGGUAACCUUUUGGUUACCUAUAACGCUUCUUGUAUUUGACCUCGGGAGUCUUGUGCAUCUAUCGUAUCGAUACAACUUAUAGAUUUCCCUUGAAUAGUUAAUAUUUGGAUAUUAUUAUGCAUUAUUUGAUGUUGGAUAUGAGGCAAUUUAUAGAUAUCCUUUCAGUUGCUAGGUUUUGAGUAAUCCUGCACAUUAUUCGGCCUUGGAUAAGAGAUGACUUACAGAUAUUCGUCCAAUCACUAGCUCUCAAGUAUUCCUGCACAUUAUCCAACCUUGGAUACAGUAUGACUUAUAGAUAUCUCUGAAAUUAGUAGUCUUUGGGUAAUCUUGUACAUAAUCGAUCUUGGAUAUGAUGCGGCUUAUAGAAUGCCCUUAGACCUAUCGAUUUUGAUAAUCUUGAAAAUUUUCCAAUAAGAAUUUAGUUGUGACUUAUGAUAACCUUCAAACUAUCGAUCUUCGGGUAACCUUGCACACUAUCUGGUUAGGAUGACCCAUGGACUGUCAACUUGUGGAUAAUCUUGCAUACUACCCUAUUUCAAAUAACUUGACUUAUAAAUGACCCUCGGAUUGCCAAUUCUCAAAAAAUCUAGUACGUCAUACAUUUUCGGAUAGCGACUUAUAAAAAUCCUUUGGACCAUAUGUUUCUUGAGAUCCAAUAGUGAAUGCUAUUAAAUCUUUGAUGAUUGAUGCACUUGAAUCUGUUGAAUAUCUCUCAAUGCCAUAUUGCUUUGCCUUUGCAUGAUUUGAUCAGUUGUGGAUGCUUCAGAAUAUCCUUCAAUGCCAGACUCUUUUGUCUUCGCAUGAUUAUCGGAUAUAUAUGGAAAUACUUCAGAAUAUCCUUCAACAAUAGAAUCUUUCGCCUUUACGUGAUUAACAGAUAUAGAAGACUUUGAUUCAAUCAUGGGCAUCAAAUUAAAUAUGGAGAUGCCCUUGGAUUGUUGCCUCUUUGAAACUGUCAAAGAAGGCAAUAUGGUUUUUAGGAUAUGACCUUUACAGCAUGGUCCUCUUGGCAUAGCCCUUUCGGCAUGGCCCUUACGGCAUGACCCUCUCAGCAUGGACCUAUUGGCAUGGCCCUCUUAGCAUGGCCCUUUUGACAUGGCCCUGUCAGUAUGGCCCUCUCAGCAUGAUAUGAUGCAGUAGAAAGAUGAUGAUAAAUGUAAAUAACUGUGCAGCGAUUGUAGAAAACCUUACCUUAACCAUUCCACUAGCAUGUUGGACCUUCUGCAUGUACUAUUUCAAACAUCCAUCCUUGAUUUACUAGGGAUGUGAGUAAGUCAUCAUUUUUUUCCACGUCUGAUAAUACCUGUAUCCAUAGAAAACUUGUUAGUUUUUGAAACUCAAUUGUUUUCAGCUUCUUGACCAUCCUAGCCCUUUUUAUUAUCCUUGGGAUGUUUGGCUUUCUUGUAUUCCUUUAAACCAAAGGAUUAUGGUGAAUAAUCGGCACUUUUGCUGGUUUUUUGUUGGCUUCAGAAUAACCUGCACCCACAGAAAAAUUAUUAGUUUUUGUUAAAAUUAAUCUGUGUUGACUUUCUCGGUCUUUAGCUACUGUCAUCACCAUUUUGGGUUCUCAUUUUCUUCAUGUGUUUGUCAUCUUUUAACUCCUGCUUCAAAUCGUCGAGUUGGUGGGUGUAAGGUAAAAUUAGAGCAUAAAUUAAUCUAAAUUAAGUAUUUUUACAAAUAAUUAAAUUUUCAAAAAACUUUUUAUAAGAUUGGGAGGAGUCUUUGUCAAAUAAUUCAUGUCAUAUAUGAGCUUUAACGAACAUUUUUUAGCUCGAGGCGUUAGGUCGUUGUAGCAGAAGGUCCAUGAAGUUGACUCUGCUCUUUCGGCGCCAAAAUCUUUGUUGUCAUCUUUGAACUCUUUGGUACAAACUGGUGAAAAUUUUAAGGUCCGACUUAAAAUUUCUACCCUAGUUACUGAUAUCUCUCUCAAAAUUUGAUUUGGCUUGCUAGAGAAUGCUCUUCUUCUGUUGAAUUUUUUGAGAUCCCAUCUCAGAAACUCUUCCCCAGUAUCCCUUUCCUGGGGUGAUACGACUGAUCCAUUGUGGUGCCUACGUAUCCCGUUGAAUAGGGAUCAGGUCAAACAUAGCUCCCACCACAUAAAAGGGAAUAAAAUAUAGUCAAAAAGGUGACCAAAGCUUGCAAAAUCCAUCUAAGUAUCCCAUCCAUAGGAAUUUCGGUCAUCACAUAGUUCAAGAUAAGAUAAAAAAAUUCUAAGAGAUUGACCGAAGCCGACAUAGGUCAUCUUCGUAUCUCAUUCUUGAGAAUUCAGGUCAAAUGUAGUUCAUACAUAAAAGGAAAGAAGAUUCUAAAGAUACUACGAAGCAUAAGAAUGAUUACAAAUGAGAAAGAAAUUACAAGGAAAUAAGCACAAAGAAACCCCACAUCAGACAUAGUAGCUAUUCACCACAUCAAAAUUAAUUGGCUUGUUCCACCUUUGGCCAUCCAUUUCAGAUAAAAUCAAGACUCCUCCCGAUAACACUUUGCAGACUACAUACGACCCCUGCCAAUUUAGAGCAAAAUUUUCCUUAUACUCUUCUUGGUAAGGAAAUAUGCAUUUGAGCACCAAUUUCACAACUUCAAAUCAUCCGUUAUUGAUAUAAUUGUCCAUGACUUACAACGCUCAUCCUCUUUUUAUCAAUCAUCAUAAGUUGUUCAUGGCGGGCGCGGACCCAUUCUUCAUUGCUCAAUCCUGCUUCUCGGAUGAUUCUUAAAGAUGGUAUUUCAACUUCAGUGGGUAUUGCUACUUAUAUCCCAUAGACUAACACAUAAGGAGUUACCCAAGUCAAAGUUCUGACUGUCGUGUGAUAUCCCAGCAAGGUAUAAGGAAGCAUGGCGUGCCACGAUCGAUGACUAUCAACCAUUUUUCUUAAGAUCUUCUUGACAUUCUUGUUGGCAGCUUCUACCUCUCUAUUCAUUUGAGGGCAAUAUGCGGUUGAAUUUAGAUAAGUAAUCUUGAACUGUUCACAUAUCUCUUUCAUCUAAUGACUAUUCAAGUUUGCUCUAUUGCUCGUGAAGAUUGACUCAGGCAUCCCAAAUUAGAAAAUCAAGUUGUUCUUGACAAAAUCUUCUACCACCCUCUUAGUUACCACCUUGUAUGACGCAGCUUCUACCCACUUGGUAAAUUAAUUGAUAGUAACUAAAAUAAAUUUAUGUCUAUUAGAAGCUGGUGGCUCAAUCAGGCCGAUGACAUCCAUACCCCAAGCUACAAACGGCCAAGAAAAGUUCAUAACAUUAAGUUCGUAUGGGAGCACCCAGAUCAGAUCCUCGUGUAUCUGGCACAUAUGGUAUUUUUGCACAAACUUGCUACAGUCACUUCCAUCGCCAUCCAGAAGUUGGCUCUCAGGAUCUUCUAGGCUAGGGUGAACCCAUUCAUAUGAGGUCCACACGUUCCGGUGUGAAUUUCUUCAAGUAAUUUUGUUACUUUAAUAGAAUCUACACAUCACAGAAAUCCCAAAUCUGGGUCUUCCUAUAAAGGACUUCCCUAUUAAAAAAGAAAUUAUUGGCCAUCCGACGGAUCAUUUUCUUUUAAUUGAAGAUUGCAUCUUCGGGAUACGCCCUAGCUUCUAAAUACCUCUAGAUAUCAAAGUACCAUGGCUUUUCAUCUGGUUCUGCCUCAACUUAUGCUCAAUGUGAAAGUUGCUCCUUCACACUUAUUUCUAAUGGAUUGAUGUAACUUUGAUCCAGAUGUUAAAUCAUGGAGGAUAUAGUGGCCAAAGCAUCAGCGAACUUAUUAUGUAUUCUUGGAACAUGCUUGAAUUCCACUUUCUUGAAUCUUUUGCAUAACUCUUAUACCAAUUCAACGUAUGACGUGCUUUUAGGGUUCUUUACAACCCAUUCCCCCCUAAGAUGGUGAAAUAAAAGAUCAGAAUCUCUAAUGACUAGUAGCUUCCGAACAUUCAUAUUAAUAGCCAGUCUGAGAUCGAGAAUACAAGCCUCGUAUUCAUCCAUAUUGUUGUUUCAAGAGAAGCACAGUUUGGCGGUAACUGGAUAAUGUUGACCAGUUUUUGAUAUUAAGAUUUCCCCAAUUCUUAAACCCUUGAAGUUAACCGCCCCAUCGAAGAACAAUCUUCAGCCCGAGUAUAUUUCAACAAUGUCUUCCCCUAUGAACAAUACCUCUUCAUUUGAGAAAUAAGUUUGGAGUGGCUCAUACUCUUCAUUAAUUAGAUUUUCCACUAGAUGAUCCGCUAGGGUAUGCUAUUUGAUCUCUUUUUGAGUCACAUAUACAAUGUCGAAUGCACUCAAUAGCAUUUGACAUUUGGCCAAUUUCCCUGUGAGCAUGGCAUUUUGGAAUAUGUACUUUAAAAGAUCCAUUCUGGAGAUGAGAUAUGUUAUAUAUGACAUCAGGUAAUGCCUCAGCUUAUUGGCCCUGGUCAAUGCACAACACAUCCUUUCCAAUAGCGUGUAAUGAGCCUCAUAUAGAGUGAACUUCUUACUCAAGUAAUAAAUUAAUCUUUCCUUCUUUUCAGUUUUAUCAUGUUGCCCUAGACACAUCCAAAUGCUUGUCAAAGACCAAUAAAUACAACAACAUGGGGCUUUCUUCUCUUGGAAGAACUAGUAUUGGUGGACUGGAUAGAUAAUCCUUGAUCCGGUCAAAAGCUCACUGCAUUCUUCAAUCCAUUUAUUUGUCGCAUCUUUCUUUAAACAUCUUGAGGAUUGGUUUGCAAAUAACCAUUGACUUGGCUAUGAACCUGCUGAUGUAAUUCAAUCUCCCUAAGAAACUAAUGACUUCUUUGUUUGUCUUCGAAGGAGGAAACUCCUAGAUUGCCUUAAUUUUUGAGGGGUCGAGUUCAAUGCACCUUCUACUAACUAUGAAACCCAACAACUUUUCGGUCGGUACCCUAAAAUCACACUUAUUAGGAUUCAUCUUUAAAUUGUACUUUUACAAUUGAUCAAAGAACUUUCCCAAAUGGGCUACGUGGUUCGAGCCCUUGCGAGAUUAGAUGAUCACAUCAUCCACAUACACUAUAAUCUCUUUAUGAAUCAUAUCAUGAAAUAUGGUUAUCAUGGCUCUUAUAUAUGUAGCACCAGUAUUCUUGAGACCGAAGGGCAUCACCCUAUAGUGAUAAACACCCCAGGGUAUGAUGAAGGCCAUUUUCUCUGUAUUUUCUUCGUCCAUCAGUAUUCGAUGAUACCUAUCAAAUCAAUCCACGAAUGACCGUAUCUUAUUCCUCGCAUUGUUGUCAAUGAAAAUAUGGAUGUUGGGCAAUGGAAAGUUAUCUUUAGGACUGGAUUUGUUCAAGUCCCUAUAAUCGACACAAAUCAUGACCUUCCCAUCCUUCUUCGGUACUGAACAAUAUUGGCUAGCCAUGUUGGAUAUUUUGUGACCUCAAUCACAUUGGCUUAAAUUUUCUUCAUGAUUUCUUUAUUGACUUUUAGACUCAGAUCUGGCUUGAAUUUUUGCAACUUUUGAUUCACAAGAUUGAACCCCAGAUCAAUUGGAAACUUGUGAGAUACAAUAUCUGUACUCAAUCCUAGCAUGUCAUCAUAUGACCAAGUAAAUAUAUCAAUGUAUUCUUUAAGCAACCCGACGAGUUCUCCUUUCUGUGUUUCUAUUAGGUGAACGUUGAUUCUGGUUUCUUUGACUUCUCCAUCAUUACCUAUAUUAACUAUCUCGGUUUCUUUUAAGUUGGGCUUUUUCUGAUCCUUAAAAUCUUUCAGUUCCUCUGUUAAUCAUUUUGGGGCCAUUAUUUGUUCAUCAUAGUUCUCCCACUCAUCAUCAUUCACUUUGAAUUGUUCAUUUAGCUCAUGACAUAACAUGAUAUUGGUAGGUUUUAAAUUAUUAUUACUGUAGUAAAAAACAAUAUGAGUUACAUUAUAGUGAUCGAAUAAUGAAGUAAAAAUGAGUAAAAACAUCUUUGCAAUAAAAGAGGCUUUCAUUGAAAUUUAAAAUAUUACAGAGACUGCUAUGAUCUGCACUAGUAUGGGUCUGAGCAAUUUGGGAAACAUAAAAAAACAAAAAUGAGGUAAAUAAAACUUAAAGGGUCGGUCUCGAGCCUCAUUUGGACUGUCACUGAUUUUGAAAAAAGCUAAAUUUCAUCCUUUCAUCUACCACAUCAACCGGGCAGUCAUGAUUGAAAUAGAAGUCCAGUUCGACAGCUUCUCCCCUAGUUCAUCUUUCUUGAUCUUAGUCUUCUCAAGUAAAUCCUCCAUAAUGGAAUCACACUUUUCAAACAAGUUACCUAUUCCUUCCUCGAUAUCAUCAUUUGUAGGCUUUACAGAUACAGAAAAUGACUGGUAAAGCGGAGGUAACUUUUUUGCCGAUUCUGGGCCUUCUCUCUUCAUCUGUCUUUCACCUUCUUUAGUUGGCACAUAGCCUAUCCCAUAUUUGAAAAACUUCUUUGGGAUUGCGAUAGGCUCGAUGAUCCCAUUCGAAUUCUUUCCUAAGUCACGCUGAGCUCAAAACCGCUUCUCAGCAUAACAAUGGCCAAUAUCUUGUAAAUCGAAGGCAUUAGCUCGUAAGGAGUUAAGUCUUUCUCAGCUGCAUUCAUGAUCUCCACUAUAUAAAAGUAUCUUUCUUUCAGUACUUCUUCAACAUAGGAACAUAAACAUUAGGGUGACUCGGGCGGCUUAUUUCCCCAUGGAUGACCACUUUAUUAUUUUCCCACACGAAUUUCAUCGAUUUAUGCAAUAUUAAAGAAACGACCCCCACUGCAUGAAUCCAAAGGAUUCUUAAGAUAAGAUUAUAACUUGUAGAAAUGUCCAUCACCUGAAACUCAACUAACAACUCUGCCAGCCCCAUUUGAAGAUGCAACUUGACUUCUCUAGUGGUGUUUCUCUGACCUCCGUCAAAAGCUUACAUUUACCAUAUUCUGAUGAAGUUUCCUUAUAUCACAGUUCAGCUGAGUCAGAAUAAAUAGUGGACAAAUAUUCAGACCUGGUCCAUCGUCAAUUAACACCCUGUUAACAACCUUAUUUGGCAUUUGGCAGUGAUAUGCAAUGCCUUGUUGUGCAUUACUCUUUCGAAGGGUAACUCAUCUCCUCCAAAGCUAAUAUAAUGAGAUCCUACCACUUUACUGAUCAUGGCCACCAAGUUUUCAGUAUUGGUGCCUAUGGGCAUGUAGGCUUCUUCAAGGACUUUCAGCAGAGCUUGUCUAUGAUAUUGAGAACUCAUGAUCAAUGCCCAAAUAGAAAUCUGAGCAGGGGACUUCUCUAAAUGUUUUACAAUAGGGUACUCCUUCGGCUGCAUUCUUCUCCCAAAUUCUUUGGCUUCCCCUUCAAUGAUUGGACUUUUUUAGCACUCUUUUUGUAUGCAUCAUUGGUAAGAUCCUGUGGAGUGUAGCAUCUCCAUAAUCUAGCCAUCCUUACGCAGUGGUGGCUUCUACCACAAAUUUUUCUCUAGCGGGAACUAAGGCAAAAGCUGGAUGAGGUGCGAUGAAUGCAACAAACUUGGGCUUCUCGAUAACAUUUUAAGCAGCCACUACCUUUUCUAUAUCUUUCAUCUUAUAUAUUUCUUUUAGGAUAGCCUUUGUUAUAGACUUUCUCACUACCCACUAGCCAUCUCUUUCUAUCAUGCUAAUGGUUGCCUAUUCAUUAUUAGGGAGUGGGUUGGUGGUAGCAUUUGGCUACACGGUUUAAAGCGAAAUCACCUUUUAAUUAAUCAAAUCUUGAAUCUUAUGCUUCAAAUUAAUACAAUCCUCAGUUAUGUGUCCAACACCCCUGAAUGAUAUGCAUAUGUUGGUCAGCAUAGAAGAAUCAGGAAUUGGUAUUGGCUGGUUUCGGUGGGAUAGGUUGGAUGUGAUCUGCUUUCCUUAGCCUUUCAAAUAAUUGAGUUUUGCUUUUAGCCAAACCAGUAAAACUUUUAGUGAAUUUCUUUUUGUUAUUCGGGCGAGGAAGAUUUUGGUAAGCAGAGAGGGACUUGAUGGUAAUUCUGGUUAACUGGGGCUCUUUGGUAGUCAUGGAAAUUUGGGAGUGGAUCUCGGUAAGUAGGCUGAUAAUUUGGCAAUAAAGCUGGGUAAUUCGAUUGAUUGGUAGAUAAAUUUGGCUGUUAAACUUGGGGGCUAGUUUCGGUGUAUAACACGAGUUGAGGAUUUUGUAGAGCUAGGGGAUAUAUAGGCGAUGAUGUUAUUUUCCCAUAACUGGGCUCGAAAGAUUUCUUUGACUUCGGGUUUGGACUAAAGGAUAUGAAAGACACAUCUUCUCUCUUUUUCUUUGGGAAUCCUGAAGAUCAAGGUUAUGAAGAGGUCUUGCUAAUUUUUUUUUGUCCUGAGUCCUUCUUUAACUGUUUCACCAAUCUUAACCAAGUCAGCAAAGGUAGCAGGAACUGCUGAUAUCAUUUUGUCAUAAAACUCUCCCUCCUGAGCUUGGGUAAACAUAACAACUAUUUAUUCUUUUGUCAGAGGAGGUCGUACCUUUGCUGCCUCUUUCCACUAAUGAUAGGUAUAUUCACAAAAGAAUUUAUUAGACUUUUGCUUGAUGCGGUUCACAUAAUAUAGAUCAGGAAUCAUCUCUACAUUAUAGGUAAAUAUUUCAACAAAAUCCUUGGCUAAAGCACUCUAUUCAGGCCACUUCUUCAGUUUCUAUGAAGCAAAUCAUUCUAAUGUUUCUCCACUCAGGCUUCGACAGAAGAGUCUCAUCAGCAAUGCCUUAUUUCUACCAGCACCUACAAUUUGGUCAUAAUAUCCUCUCAAGUGGGUCGUAGGGUUCCCAGUACCAUUGAAUGUCUCAACUUAAGAACAUUAAAUCCUUUAGAAAGGUUCAAGUCAGGGCGAAUACAAAGGUCAUCAUAACUGAACCCUACAGUAUUGAGCGAACCAUGUAUUUUCUUUAUCCUGGCGAUCUCUUCCUUUAUCAACAGUAGCUCCCUAGCAUAUUUGUCUUUAGGCCCCUUACUCUUCUUACCCAUCUCCUCAUACUGGUAAAUUUCUAGAUUUUGUGGGGAAGUAUGGUAAGAGGCAGGCACUACAAUAGCGUGGAUGGUGGAGUGAGACACAUUUUUUGGUCAUCGAAGGAUUUUGAGUGGUGUGAGCAAAGUUUUGGUAUGUAGGAAUUGGAUUUUGGGGAACGUUGACAUUGAGACUGAAAGUGGGGUGGGUAUUUUAGAAAGUGAAGGCAUUUGUGAAAGUGUUUUGGUAAUUUAGAGUGAAGCUUUGAGAGUGGUAAGUAUUUGGAUGAUUUUCUCGGUUGGUAUUAUAAAAAAGAGAGAUAUAGGUUUGACACAACAAAUUGAUGAUAUUAGUGAGAGGCCUGGGUAUAGAAUGGAGGGUAUGUCAUUUGGUUGGCUUCCACUGUUAGGAGACUUAAGAGAAGGGAAUCAAAGUGGAAGCACAUGGGUAUCCAAGACUGGCGUUUUAGUUGCAAUGGCCAAAUUAGCCAUAUCUUUUGCGUGUUGUAGUUCUUCUUGAAGCUCCUACAUUCUUCUAGUUAGUUCAGUGAUCAUCUCACCUUGUGUCAUUAUCACACCAUCUCUAAUAGUAAUUUCGGUGAGAGCAUUAUCAUCGCUACUAUCGGUCAUUCUUUAUUCUUCAGUUAAGCAAUGGUCAAGGGAGGAAUUUUUAUUUGCCUUAGAUCUAGUGAAAUAUUGAUCUCCAGCGAGUUUUAUAACCAUAGGUCAACUUCUACUUACUUGAUAUCAGACAACUCCAAAGGAAAAUAUGUUAGAUUCGCUUAGUGAUAAAUAAUGCAAGAUAUCCGACAUAAAGUAAACACAUAAAGUUGCUUUUAUUUUAGGUAAAUUGAUCCAUGAGUGGGUAUUAACUCGAAAGGAAUUAACGGGCGGGACUUUGUCCGUUGAUUUUUGGAUAAAUGGGUUUUGACAAGAUUUUUACCAAGGCUUCUAAUUUUGUACUCAUAUGACUUUCUUUGACAAAAUGAGACAUAAUGAUUUUAAAUGAUAGAGGCCACGAUGAAAGGAUGUGUACGUAUCUCACAAAGGAGAAAUCAGGUCAUACGUAGUUCAAAUAGGUAAGGAUAAAACUUCAUUUCAUUGAAAUCUCACUAGAGUUCGUUACAUUAGCGGAACAUGAAAAGAAAAAUGACAACAAAAAAAAAGAAACUAAAUGACUAAGUCUUAGAUAGAUGUGGGCAUUCCCACUUCAUUCUGCCUUUUCCACAUCUUGAUCUUCUAUGGGUGGUAUAGCAAAAAUUCCAACUCAACCCUUCCUGUAUCCACCAGGCUCUCUAAAUCUAUCUUAAAAGCAUGGAAAGUUUCCAAGUUGUGCCCUUCGAUGCCUCCAUUAUAGUGACAAAUCUCUCUGAAUUUCUUCCAAGCUUUAAAUAUCGUAUUAUGCUUCUUUUUCACUGGUUCCAGAAUUUUGGCAUUGAUGAGCUUUGAGUAGAUUUCAUGGUAGGUAUCUUCAAACCUUGUGAAGUCGUAUUUGUGAAUCUAUAGGUCAUUGGUGAUGGUCAUGCCUAGAUUAACCUGAUCGCAAUAAAGAAUGGUUUAUGGUCCCCAUAAAUUAUUUAUUUGACCAUCGCGAAUCUUGGCCUUCAGAGCAAAACACUCGUCAGUGGUAUGACCAGUUUAUUGGGAUCAUCCUUGGGAAAACAACAAAAUCCUUCUAUUUGAUCAUGGUGGAGGACCCCCAUAUUUCUUAGGAUUUGAUAAACUAUCGAGCAUGUUAUGAUCUAAGGAUACCGAGAGCAUGCUCUGAAGUGAGCUCUGCAGGUGAUCUUUUCACUUCCCGACCUAAUCCUAGUUGGCUAGAUGGCAUACCCUUUAGUAUUGGCCCAGCUUUCAUCUCUUAGGUUUGCAGGUGGAACUUGCUCAAACUUCUUUUUUUCCUGCUUGAUCAACUGGUUGACUUCGAUAAUUUCUUUGUCGGCCUGAUCAACCUUCCUAAUCAGUCUUUUGAUUUCUUCUUUUUGCAUUUCCUCCACUUGGGCUAACUCUACUAUCCGUCUUUUCAUUUGUGUGGUCCAUGAAUCCAUGAAAAAUUUUCUUGAAAGAAUAGGAAUAUGUUUAUCAAGAAAGCUAAAGAAAAUAGUUGACGACUUCUUGAGAAACUUGGGGAGCUGGAAUGUCUUGGGCAAACUUUUGAUAGUAAGAAUAUAUUUUGCCUAAAGGGUUUUCAAGGAUUUAUUGAGUUGUGGAUCAAUUUACCUUUGAUUAACAAUACACAUAGCACUUAAACAGUUAUAUCACAUAAUACAUUUAUAUUUCACAACAAUAGAAUAAUAAAUAACGAGCCCUAAUUGGGUGACACUUUUGAGCCAAAGGUUGUCCUAGAGAAUUUGAAGGAAAUAUAUGUCUUUUAAACCAAUAAAGUAUCCCUCAAAAUCUCCAUAGAUAUUUAUAAAUCCAUAAGUGUUGACAAAAGUUUCAUAAGGGGAUACAAUCUUUAGGGAAAGGGGAAAUGAUAUGAAAAGAACAAAGUCCCACACAGGGGAUAAAGACUAACUCCUAGAUGCUCCUCCAUUGGCGUUCGAUCUCUUAGAAUUAUCCACCUCUUGACAUAUGUGAUAUAUGUUGAUGACCAGAUGACUCCCGCAUAAUUAUACUUUAUUCUUGUAGGUUGUCUCCCCUAUGCUAUCAAUUUGAUAAGCUAUGUGAUCAUGCAAAUUAAGCAAGCAUUGUCUUGUAUCAAUAACCUCUUACCUAGAUCUAUUUAAAUCUUCCCUCAACAGAUGUAUAGUUGAGGCAUCCUCCAUAUGCAUAUGCUGGUAUGCCAUUUCACUUCUUUAAAAUUCGUCCUGAAGCCUAUUGAGCCAGAUCUGGUGUUCUUACUCUACAUCAAUUAUUUGUGUGGGUACAUUCGCACCCAGUACCAAUGUUCCAGCAAGAUUCUCCUUCAACCACUCUUUGUAGGUAUCACUAACCUCAGGUUCAUACCCAAUACAAAAGGAGACUUCUUUGGUAUUUCUUCUUCUCCACCGAUCUACCAUGUACUAUUUGAGUGGAGUUUCACCUUCAUCAUACUUGGUGAUGAAUCUAACCAUAGGCGUUGUUUAUGAUAUUUCCUGCUUGAUUUCAAACUACCUAAGAACCCUGUCGGGGUUGUAAGGACGAGUUCUCCUAAGACCUGGAAGUAUUAAAAAGGCCAUUCUUUUCCUCAAGUGAUGUACUUCCCUGGAUGAAGAUAUUUGAUAGACCACUGAACGUUGUCCUCUCUCAAUUCCCCAAAAACCUUGAACCGAAAUCCCAGAGAGUCUAUCAUCUUAAACCUGUACAAGGAUAGCCAAAUGUCAUGUGAUGAUAAAAGAUCUACCCUUUUCCAAGGGUCUGGCUUCUUUACUCUGGUAUUUUUCAAUAAAUGUUUCAUCAUCCACCAUUGAAAUAUAAGGUUGCACCCUUGGAAGAAACGAUUCCUACCUUGACACAUUCCCAAAGCCCUAUAUAUUUUAGCGAUAAUCAUGGAAGCUAGAGUAUGGAAUACUUUAGUGGUUUUGUAAUCUACUUCUUAUAGGAAGGCGUGCAUUACCAUAACAACUCUUAGAUUAAUGGUGUCAUUCUCUCCUUGCAGGAACACCAUAGUUCCAAGCAAACCUACAGCGAAAACAAAUGCUCUUUUCUCCCUCCAUUUUGACUCUGAUUUGAAUUUGUGUCCAAACUUCUAAAAGCGUUAUACUUUUUGAACCAGCUAUAUAGAUCACAAAAAAGGUAUGUUAUCUCUAUCAUGUUCCCCCAACCAGGUAUCAUCGUUGAUCAAAAAGGCAUCUUUGAUCUCCUGACGGUUUCAUAAAGUAGGGACUAUAAUACUUUUUUCGGGUGCACUCCUUCUUUUUUUCCUAUACAUAUGAAGUCUCUCAUAACAGGCCACUACUUCUUCAAUAGUGGGGUUCAAUUCGACUUCCUCAUAGCGAAACACCAUGUUGUCAUCAUUUGAGAAUGUUGUUAGUAAAUGGAUCAUUUCAGGACAAAUGUUCAUAUCUUGAAGCUCAGGUAGAUGCCCGAUAUGUGUACUAACAAUCUCUUUGUCUUUUUCACCCAUAUGAGUCCACCAUACCUCCAGGAAGUUAUCAGGUCCGGUAACCAUCUUUAACUUUCUACAAGGGUAUGCUUGAGCCAUUCCUACAUGAUAGAAAUAAAAGUAAGACUUCUCCCUACCCCAAAGGAUAAUUGAUUGGAUUAAACAGACAUAUAUUUUUUCAACACAUAAGCAUGAUUCGUUUGUAAUUGGCUCGUGGCUAAUAGAAGCAGAACAAUUUUUCUAAUGGGCCUAAUAUCCCCUCGAGUAUUGGGCCGCCCUAGGCUCAUGCCUAAAAGAAGAUUUUGGUUUCGCUCUAUCUUAGGUGUCUAGAGUGGGGCUUUGGAAUAGGUUCCCAAGCGGAAGACUUGGGUUUAGAAAUACGAACAGUCAUCGGACGCCUAACGUGACAAUAAACUGAUGUAUUUCCAGCAUUUGAUUUGGAGUUGAACAAUAGGGGUUGGGACAUCCACGAAAUCCCAAAUAAUUUAUAUAUUUUGAAUGCAGAAAUAUGUCACGAAAUGCAAUAAUUUAAAAUUUGCAAAAAUUUAAACACAUAAGAAGACAAACAGUGUAAAUAUUACAACCCAAAUAGUUAGACAAAGAAGUUAGCACACAUUUGGUUAGAACCUAGUGAAGUCCCCAGCAGAGUCACCAUUUCUUUUUUAUCCUUUUGCGGAUUUUACUUAAAAGAAAAUGGUUUUGACCCUUUUAAACUAUUUCGAAAGAUUUAAGAGAGUUUCAAAAUUAUUUUUGACAAAUUUAUAGAGUCGCCACUUGAUUUUUUUUAUCAAAAAUAUCAAGAAAACUUAAAGAGAUUUCAAAGAUUCAAAAACCAAAAUAAAUUUUUGAAAAAUAGAGAAAUUGAGUAAGGGUUCAAUUAACGCCCUUAGAAGAUUUUUACGGCACUUAGGAGCGUCUGUUUUAAAACGGUUCAUCAAAAGAUUAUAUUUUGACUAAAAAAGAGUGACUAACUUUGCAAAGGUUGAUUUUUUAAUAUUUAUAUUAUUUAUCCAUACAUCUAAAAAAUCGUAUUUGUUUGUUCAAACAAGGAAUAGCCUACUUGAAUUAGGAAAAAGCUAUAUUAUAUUCUACUUAAUUCAAUAUUAAUUUUGAGAAAAAUUACGAAAUAUUUCAUUUAGAUUGAGAAACAUUACGGAAUAUCUUGCUUGAGAAAAUAUUCUACUUAAUCACGAGGAAGCUAGAAUUUGAGAAAAACAAUCAAGGAAUAUGCUAGUUGGGAAACUUCAACUUAAUUCGUAAUUACUUCUAGAUAAAUAUAGAAUAUUUACUUCAAUUAAAAUAAACCUAUCUAAACUAGAUUACGCUUUUGAGUUUAUAGAGGAAAUAAGUUAAUUUUUUAAGGAAAUUGAGAAUUAUAUGAUUAUUUAUUAUUAUUGUCAUAAAUAUAGUCAUUUUGUUAUAAAUAACACCUUUGAAAUAUUUUAAGAAAGUAUCAUUUUAUCAAUUAUGAAAAAUUUGGAACUUGCGAGAAAAUUAGUUUCUUGAAUUUGAAGAUAAUUACUUUUUAACCCAAGUAGUCUAUCAGUCAAGUGAACAAGACAAGUGUUAUUUUCAAGUAGAGGACUUAAUGAUUUUUCUCUUUUAAAAAAAAAAUUAAUUUAGGAAUAGCAAUCGAAAGAACCACUUUAAUCCAUUUUAGAAAAAAUAAAUUAGGUGAGAAAAUUUGUGAAUUAAAUAUGGAAAUCGAGGUAAAACAAAUAGCAACAACAUGGGGAAACACCAGAUUAAUUAAUUAAGGUUAGUUCAAAUACAAAAUAAACAAGUAUAGCAGUUGCAAUUUAAGAGAAUAAAAGGUUAAAGUUGGAGUUGGGCCUUUUUUGGCCCAUCAGUGAGUUGCCCAGCCUUUGGGCUUCCCAUUUUAUGGAAUUUAGGUCCAUUUUCCUGUAGGGUAUACCACAUGUAUACCAGCUAUAUUCUUCUGCAUUUUUAUGUAUAUAUGGUGUAUAUAUGACUGUAUUUCAGUCACAUACACACAACUUUAGUCCUCCCCUGUAUAAUCAGCUUCCCUUUCACAUUUUCAGCCGUAGAUACUCAGUAUACUGGCGUAUAUCUGUGUAUACAACUUAGAAUCAUCCCAUUUUUCUUCUUGCAUUAGUCCAUUUUGGACUUGAUGUAGGUCUUGACUCGAUGUUUCAGCAACUUAGUCUCAAGGAAACAUAAGAUAUUGAGUCCAAUUGAACUCCAUUGGAAUUCAUGGAAAAAGCAAAGAAACAAAGGAUUAAUGAAAUGAAGAAAAAAGAAUAAAUAACUUUGUAUACUAGCUUGCUUAAUUAUAACAUAGAAGAGCAUCCAAUAAUAUUAGACAAAUCCCCUACUCCUAACUAUGUUAAAACAAUACAGAUUUCAAAAUAUUAAGACUUCAUGCAACAUUAAUCACCCCAGCAAAUUUCUUUAAGUUCUAUUACAUGCUUUGGCAUAUUACAAAACAUAAAUUAGGCCAAUCGAGCAGGUUAAACUAAAAUCUCUUCAAAACCAUUCCAUGCAUUAGAUUUCUAUGUUAUCUAUGUUUCAAACCUCCUAUGAAAACAUGCCUUUAAACCUAUAUCGACCCGAAUCAGGAUCUUUGAAAAAGGAUUUCAUAAGAGGGAAGUUGCUAAACUAACCAUAAUGAUAGGCAGGAACAAAGAAGACGAAAAGAAAAUCUCCUAGCACGAGACAUCACAAGUUACUAAUAAUGGAUCAAGAUUCGAUCUUUAUUUAAUACUUAGACAAAACAAGCUAUCAUCCUGCGACUCCCUCCUAUCAAAUAAACAUUAAGAAAGAACAUGCCAGUCGAGUCCAAACACAUAGAUUAACGUACUAAGUCAAAACAAAAAAGGAGCAAGAAGGUCGUCGAGGAGUCUUUGAUUUUGCAGUCCUUGGUUUUACAUUAAUUCCAAUAAGGCAUAAUGGAACAGUUUGCAUUGUAAUCACAUAAACACUAGGAUAACAUCUGUUCAUUCAAACGUUCAACAGGCAGACAUCGCAAGUUGCUAAACUUCAGAACAUAUUUUUUUAACAGAACAAGCCCCCUAAAGCCUAAAGCUUUCCAACCUCAAACACAUAUAAACACCUUAAUACCUUUACAUCCAACAACAACCAAAAGACAGUAUAAUGGAACAAUGGUCUUAACAAAAAUAGUGUCGAAAAGGCGGAGUUUGCACCUUUUUUGGAGCAGGAACGGGAACUUCAAAACUCUUCCGAACAAAUCCCACCACAAUUUCUAGUUGCCAUUAGGAUUCCAG